This 109-nucleotide ribosomal RNA is filed under the name Candidatus Uhrbacteria bacterium CG10_big_fil_rev_8_21_14_0_10_48_16. Lineage: Bacteria; Candidatus Uhriibacteriota. The record is from RNAcentral.
CUUGGUGCCACUUCCAGGAAGGCCACACCCGUUCCCAUCCCGAACACGGCCGUUAAGCUUCCUUGGGCCGAUGGUAGUGCGAUUGCGCGAGAGUAGGUGGGCGCCAGGA